GACGAACGCUGGCGGCGUGCCUAAUACAUGCAAGUCGAGCGCAGGAAACCGUCUGAACCCUUCGGGGGGACGACGGUGGAAUGAGCGGCGGACGGGUGAGUAACACGUAAAGAACCUGCCCAUAGGUCUGGGAUAACCACGAGAAAUCGGGGCUAAUACCGGAUGUGUCAUCGGACCGCAUGGUCCGCUGAUGAAAGGCGCUUCGCCGUCGCCCAGGGAUGGCUUUGCGGUGCAUUAGCUAGUUGGUGGGGUAAUGGCCCACCAAGGCGACGAUGCAUAGCCGACCUGAGAGGGCGAUCGGCCACACUGGGACUGAGACACGGCCCAGACUCCUACGGGAGGCAGCAGUAGGGAAUCUUCCACAAUGGACGAAAGUCUGAUGGAGCAACGCCGCGUGAACGAUGAAGGCUUUCGGGUCGUAAAGUUCUGUUGUAAGGGAAGAACAAGUGCCGCAGGCAAUGGCGGCACCUUGACGGUACCUUGCGAGAAAGCCACGGCUAACUACGUGCCAGCAGCCGCCGUAA
RNAcentral lists this ribosomal RNA (524 nucleotides) under uncultured bacterium. RNAcentral describes it as "partial 16S ribosomal RNA". It matches the Rfam family "Bacterial small subunit ribosomal RNA", at positions 28 to 523 of the family's 1533-position model. The record is from RNAcentral.